This 435-nucleotide ribosomal RNA is filed under the name uncultured bacterium. RNAcentral describes it as "bacterial SSU rRNA". It matches the Rfam family "Bacterial small subunit ribosomal RNA", at positions 956 to 1392 of the family's 1533-position model. The record is from RNAcentral.
GGAACGCGAAGAACCUUACCUACCCUUGACAUGUCAGGAAUCCCGUAGAGAUAUGGGAGUGCCGCAAGGAACCUGAACACAGGUGCUGCAUGGCUGUCGUCAGCUCGUGUCGUGAGAUGUUGGGUUAAGUCCCGCAACGAGCGCAACCCUUGUCAUUAGUUGCCAUCAUUUAGUUGGGCACUCUAAUGAGACUGCCGGUGACAAACCGGAGGAAGGUGGGGAUGACGUCAAGUCCUCAUGGCCCUUAUGGGUAGGGCUUCACACGUCAUACAAUGGUCGGUACAGAGGGUUGCCAAGCCGCGAGGUGGAGCCAAUCCCAGAAAGCCGAUCGUAGUCCGGAUCGUAGUCUGCAACUCGACUACGUGAAGUCGGAAUCGCUAGUAAUCGCGGAUCAGAAUGCCGCGGUGAAUACGUUCCCCGGGUCUGUACACACCG